Long non-coding RNA from Tachysurus vachellii, 867 nucleotides. RefSeq lists it as uncharacterized. NCBI's taxonomy places the organism in Eukaryota, Metazoa, Chordata, Actinopteri, Siluriformes, Bagridae. The record is from RefSeq and is a predicted model, not a curated record. The transcript is spliced from 2 exons.
AGCCUGCUGAAUCCCAAAAAAGAAAGAAAGAAAAAAAACUUGCAGAGGAAAUGUGUGAGUGCAGGAGGAGGAGAGAAGAAACACAAGCCAGACACGCUUUUUCACAGCUUUUCGCUGCGUCUGAUAAAGCUUGGGAUCCACUUCACAAAGGCAAAUUUGUCUUUACAGAUCUUUGGACUACCAAGGUCAACGAGGACGAACAAUCCCAGUAGCGGCACUUGAGCAGUGGCAGAAGAACGCGAGAGGCUGGUGGGUGGGGGGAAGGAACCGUUGGCAUGCGUGGUGGUCACCGCUAUGCCGCUCCAGCUCUCAGCUCUCUACAUGCCAUGGCAUCAUUUCCAUAGCAACCCACUCUAACGAUUCAUUUUCAAUUAGAGCAGACACAAAACACACUGCCCUGAGCCAGUAGGCAGUGUCAAGAGCCCAUCUCCAUCUUCCUCGCCCCCACAUGGGGGGAGUGAUCCAGCCUCUUCGAGUCAAAGACACCAGGCUGUCUUAGAGUAACGUUCAUAAGCCACUCAUUUAAUCAGAUUCACAUCAGUGCAAAAAUAAAUGGGCUGUUCAUAAUGAACAGAGAUUUAAUGCUAAAAGGUUUAUAGAGAAAUGCACAAAAAACUUUAUUGUGAAAGUCUUGGGCAAAGCUGGGUUUUUGUGCAGUCACUGAGAAUGUGAUGCGUUUCAGGCCUGGAAGAAUUGCCACAAGCUGCAAAGCUGUUCUUUCUGGCUAGAGAGUUAUACACUUGAGUUCAUAUCUACCUCCAGUCUCCCUUCCUGCUGUGCAGCUGAUGUCCGAUCUGACGCUAUGUGUGCAGCACUUGUAAACAUUGCCCUAAUAAAAUCACCGGCAUGGUUUCUAUCUGCCUUCCA